RNAcentral lists this ribosomal RNA (468 nucleotides) under uncultured bacterium. RNAcentral describes it as "partial 16S ribosomal RNA". It matches the Rfam family "Bacterial small subunit ribosomal RNA", at positions 28 to 507 of the family's 1533-position model. The record is from RNAcentral.
GACGAACGCUGGCGGCGUGCUUAACACAUGCAAGUCGAACGGAAAGGCCCUGCUUUUGUGGGGUGCUCGAGUGGCGAACGGGUGAGUAACACGUGAGUAACCUGCCCUUGACUUUGGGAUAACUUCAGGAAACUGGGGCUAAUACCGGAUAGGAGCUCCUGCUGCAUGGUGGGGGUUGGAAAGUUUCGGCGGUUGGGGAUGGACUCGCGGCUUAUCAGCUUGUUGGUGGGGUAGUGGCUUACCAAGGCUUUGACGGGUAGCCGGCCUGAGAGGGUGACCGGCCACAUUGGGACUGAGAUACGGCCCAGACUCGUACGGGGGGCAGCAGUGGGGAAUAUUGCACAAUGGGCGGAAGCCUGAUGCAGCAACGCCGCGUGCGGGAUGACGGCCUUCGGGUUGUAAACCGCUUUCGCCUGUGACGAAGCGUGAGUGACGGUAAUGGGUAAAGAAGCACCGGCUAACUACGUG